GAUGAACGCCGGCGGUGUGCCUAAUACAUGCAAGUCGUACGAAGCAAUUAAGAUGAAGUUUCGGAUGGAAUCUUGAUUGACUGAGUGGCGGACGGGUGAGUAACGCGUGGAUAACCUGCCUCACACUGGGGGAUAACAGUUAGAAAUGACUGCUAAUACCGCAUAAGCGCACAGUGCCGCAUGGCAGUGUGUGAAAAACUCCGGUGGUGUGAGAUGGAUCCGCGUCUGAUUAGCCAGUUGGCGGGGUAACGGCCCACCAAAGCGACGAUCAGUAGCCGACCUGAGAGGGUGACCGGCCACAUUGGGACUGAGACACGGCCCAA
RNAcentral lists this ribosomal RNA (323 nucleotides) under uncultured bacterium. RNAcentral's name for it is "bacterial SSU rRNA". It matches the Rfam family "Bacterial small subunit ribosomal RNA", at positions 28 to 334 of the family's 1533-position model. The record is from RNAcentral.